UAGCACUUUUUCAUUGCAAAACAAAAGAAUUUGUACAAAGGUUCCUGAAAAUUUGAUCCAUCUAUCUACAUGAUUCCGCCUCUUAACGAGUCUCAAUACAGAGUUGGAGAGCCCCACUGUGUUGAGAACAUCCAAAGCUUUGCGUUGUGCAUUCUUCAAGCGUUCCCUUUGCUCUGAAUAUUUGGAAAGGAUGGCUGAUCCUGUUGAUAAAGAUUCUUGCAACAUCCUUUUUGAAUUUUGAACUGACUGCAUUGCUUGUGCUUCCUCAUCAAAUAUUCUUAAAACAUGAGCUGAUUCACCAUUAGCUCUUCCAAGCAAUUCUGCCCUCUCCUGAGCUUCCCUCAUCCGCUUUUGAUUCCUUGAGAAGUAUCUAUCCAGACUUUGUUUCAAUGAUUCAGCUUCUUCUGCUACUUGUUCUACCUUUCUUUUCCAGAGAUCACGCUGGGGUUUAGCGGCGAUUAAGCGCCAGAGACGAUCCAUUUCAGCACAAAGGGACUGGAUCUGAGAGAUGUCCUUUUUAACGGUGAAGGAGAGCUCAGGGGAGUCGAGACCUCCACUAGAUGUAGAACUCUCGAGACGCUCCAGCCUCUCGACUCCAUCCCGAGCCCUGAGCAGGAGCUUCUUCGCAGUCUGAAAAAUCUCGGAUAGCGUCCCUCCUCCUUCAACAGCCAUCGCCAUUCGUUAAAGUUAUACAGAAAGUGAAAUCUAGAGCGAGUUUUGGCCUUUUUGGUGCCCUUUUAGACUCGGUUUUUAGAGAGUUUCAGAGAUGAGAGAAAAAAGCAUGCAAUUUCACAUGCCCAUGGCGUCGGCUUUUGGAAUUUGGUUUGAAGGGUUUGGAUUUUUUUUUUCUUUUUUUUUUUUAACUUUCUUUGGGGAAUUUAGGAAGCGAAAAAACUGAAGGGGGGCGGUGUUUUCCGAUGGAGGAUAAAAUUAGG
This 935-nucleotide unclassified non-coding RNA is filed under the name Hevea brasiliensis (rubber tree). Lineage: Eukaryota; Viridiplantae; Streptophyta; Magnoliopsida; Malpighiales; Euphorbiaceae. The record is from RNAcentral.